RNAcentral lists this long non-coding RNA (1092 nucleotides) under Bos indicus x Bos taurus (hybrid cattle). Its description in RNAcentral is "lncRNA (ENSBIXG00005010733.1)". Lineage: Eukaryota; Metazoa; Chordata; Mammalia; Artiodactyla; Bovidae. The record is from RNAcentral.
GCUAAAUAUAAAGUAUCUGAAAAUUAAAAAUGCUUAAGCUCAGUGUUGAUAAGAAACUAGAGUGUGGUAGAAUGCAUUCAUUUAUAUUAACCUGUGACAACACCACCAUUCAGGAGAAUGUCUUAUAACUACCAUAACUGCAAAAGGACGUGAAGAGUAGAAGUCCGAAACAAUAAAAUGUCAUCCAGCACUAGCACAGUGAAGGGGGUGUUCUUAAAAGGUAAUUUGAUUUGGAAGUGUUAGGAGAAAAAAAUAGAUACUUAUCCAUAGCAAUACUGAAAACAUAUAGUAGCAUUCAUGGAGCAUCAACGCAUACAACCAUUCCAGAUCAGCCAGGUAUUUGUCCCAAGGUUUGUCUGCCUACACACACACUCAAAAGUUAGGAAUAUUAAGAAAAAAAAAAGUCCAGAAGCAUAGAUGGGGUGGGUGAGAUCGGAGUGUUCAUACUCAGAGGGAGACAUUUGAAAAUCCCUACCGUUAAGCCCUGAAUGCUUAUGGCAAGGAUUUGAACAUUGCAAGUUCCUGUCUGGGUUAUUCUGUUGAAACAGGGUUGAAGAAUGGCAAAGACCAACAUCGGCCAAAGGAUAAAGAUGCCAGCUCUGUGUUCGCCAGGUAGCCUGUUGGUCUGUGAGGCUGACUGUCAGUGUGUCAUUGCAGAGCUGGCACAGCUGAAGGCAGAAGCACCGGGCACAGAGGAGAGUGGGGAGGAAGAUCUUGAAAAAGCUGUCUCCAUCAACUUACUGAUCCCAGGGACCAGGGAGCCAGCCCCCGGGGCAAGGCCAACUUGAUGAAGAGUGGCUCUUAGUCCUAUUUUACAGAUGAAGACAUUGAGGUGAAUAUACACAAAGCUGGAAAAUGUUGGCUUAUGACCAAGAACUGAUUCCUGGCCAUGCUCCAGGUGAGUUCAUACAGCAGCCUGGGUAAGGAUAUCCUCUAGAGACCAGUCUUGGGUGACCUGCUGAUCUUCCUGGCUAUUGGUGGCAGCUUAUGCUAUAUUUUCUAUUACACAGCUUUAGAGUCCAGAAAAAUUCUCCUUUUUAAAGCCACAUCUCCAGUCUGUCUAUCUAGUCCCACCUCAACCCAGUUGGUUUC